RNAcentral lists this ribosomal RNA (435 nucleotides) under uncultured bacterium. RNAcentral describes it as "partial 16S ribosomal RNA". It matches the Rfam family "Bacterial small subunit ribosomal RNA", at positions 29 to 507 of the family's 1533-position model. The record is from RNAcentral.
AGCGAACGCUGGCGGCAGGCUUAACACAUGCAAGUCGAGCGGGCACUUUCGGGUGUCAGCGGCGGACGGGUGAGUAACGCGUGGGAACGUGCCCUCUGGUUCGGAAUAACUCAGGGAAACUUGAGCUAAUACCGGAUACGCCCUUUUGGGGAAAGGCUUGCUGCCGGAGGAUCGGCCCGCGUCUGAUUAGCUAGUUGGUGAGGUAACGGCUCACCAAGGCGACGAUCAGUAGCUGGUCUGAGAGGAUGAUCAGCCACACUGGGACUGAGACACGGCCCAGACUCCUACGGGAGGCAGCAGUGGGGAAUAUUGGACAAUGGGCGCAAGCCUGAUCCAGCCAUGCCGCGUGAGUGAUCAAGGCCCUAGGGUUGUAAAGCUCUUUUAUCCGGGACGAUAAUGACGGUACCGGAGGAAUAAGCCCCGGCUAACUUCGUG